Small nuclear RNA from Molossus molossus (Pallas's mastiff bat), 107 nucleotides. Lineage: Eukaryota; Metazoa; Chordata; Mammalia; Chiroptera; Molossidae. The record is from RefSeq and is a predicted model, not a curated record.
GUGCUUGCUUCAGCAGCACAUAUCCUAAAAAUGGAAUGAUACAGAGAAGAUUAGCAUGGUCUUUAUGCUAGGAUGACAUUCAAAUACGUGAAGUGUUCCAUAUUUAA